GCUAAACGCGAAGAACCUUACCUGGUCUUGACAUCCUAGGAAUCCUGCAGAGAUGUGGGAGUGCCUUCGGGAACCUGGAGACAGGUGCUGCAUGGCUGUCGUCAGCUCGUGUCGUGAGAUGUUGGGUUAAGUCCCGCAACGAGCGCAACCCUUGCCCUUAGUUGCCAGCAUUUAGGUGGGAACUCUAAGGGGACCGCCGGUGACAAACCGGAGGAAGGUGGGGAUGAUAUCAAGUCAUCAUGGCCUUUAUGUUCAGGGCUACACACGUGCUACAAUGGAAGGUACAAAACGUCGCAAUCCCGCAAGGGGGAGCUAAUCGCGAAAACCUUCCUCAGUUCGGAUUGGAGUCUGCAACUCGACUCCAUGAAGUUGGAAUCGCUAGUAAUCGCAAAUCAGCAUGUUGCGGUGAAUACGUUCCCGGGUCUUGUACACAC
RNAcentral lists this ribosomal RNA (434 nucleotides) under uncultured bacterium. RNAcentral describes it as "bacterial SSU rRNA". It matches the Rfam family "Bacterial small subunit ribosomal RNA", at positions 954 to 1390 of the family's 1533-position model. The record is from RNAcentral.